Molecule: unclassified non-coding RNA, 148 nt
Organism: Pongo abelii (Sumatran orangutan)
Lineage: Eukaryota; Metazoa; Chordata; Mammalia; Primates; Hominidae
Rfam family: Metazoan signal recognition particle RNA
About the family: The signal recognition particle (SRP) is a universally conserved ribonucleoprotein. It is involved in the co-translational targeting of proteins to membranes.
Source: Ensembl
GCCGGGCGUGGUGGUGCACGCCUGUAAUCCCAGCUACCCAGGAGGCUGAGGCAGGAGAAUCACUUGAACCCGGGAGGCGGAGGGUGCAGUGAGCUGAGAUUGCGCCACUGCACUCCAGCCUGGGCGACAGAGCGAGACUCCGUCUCAA